Molecule: ribosomal RNA, 497 nt
Filed under: uncultured bacterium
Lineage: Bacteria
Description: partial 16S ribosomal RNA
Rfam family: Bacterial small subunit ribosomal RNA
Source: RNAcentral
GAUGAACGCUGGCGGCGUGCCUAAUACAUGCAAGUCGAGCGAACAGACGAGGUGCUUGCUCCUCUGACGUUAGCGGCGGACGGGUGAGUAACACGUCGAUAGCCUACCUAUAAGACUGGGAUAACUUCGGAAAACCGGAGCUAAUACCGGGAUAUAUAUUGAACCGCAUGGUUCAAUAGUGAAAGGCGGUUUUGCUGUCACUUAUAGAUGGAUCCGCGCCGCAUUCGCUAGUUGGUAAGGUAACGGCUUACCAAGGCAACGAUGCGUAGCCGACCUAAGAGGGUCAUCGGCCACAUUGGAUCUGAGACACACUCCAUACUCCUGCGGACGGCCGCAGUAGGGAAUCUUCCGGAAUGGGCGAUUGCCUAACGGAUCACCACCGGGUUAGGGAUGAAGGUCCACUGAUCGUAAAACUCUGGUAUUAUGGAGGUACAAAUGUGUAAUUAACUAUGCACUUCUUGACGGUACCUAAUCAGUAAGCCCCGGCUAACUACGUG